RNAcentral lists this ribosomal RNA (305 nucleotides) under uncultured bacterium. RNAcentral's name for it is "partial 16S ribosomal RNA". It matches the Rfam family "Bacterial small subunit ribosomal RNA", at positions 506 to 807 of the family's 1533-position model. The record is from RNAcentral.
ACAGCAGCAGCCACGGUAACACGGAGGGAGCUAGCGUUGUUCGGAAUUACUGGGCGUAAAGCGCGCGUAGGCGGUUACUCAAGUCAGAGGUGAAAGCCCGGGGCUCAACCCCGGAACUGCCUUUGAAACUAGGUGACUAGAAUCUUGGAGAGGUCAGUGGAAUUCCGAGUGUAGAGGUGAAAUUCGUAGAUAUUCGGAAGAACACCAGUGGCGAAGGCGACUGACUGGACAAGUAUUGACGCUGAGGUGCGAAAGCGUGGGGAGCAAACAGGAUUAGAUACCCGAGUAGUCCCUGUCUCUUAUAC